Molecule: transfer RNA, 76 nt
Filed under: Nippostrongylus brasiliensis
Lineage: Eukaryota; Metazoa; Nematoda; Chromadorea; Rhabditida; Heligmosomidae
Rfam family: tRNA
About the family: Transfer RNA (tRNA) molecules are approximately 80 nucleotides in length. Their secondary structure includes four short double-helical elements and three loops (D, anti-codon, and T loops).
Source: Rfam by way of RNAcentral
GUCUCAGUAGCAUAGUAGUUAGUGCAUAGCCCCGAAUAUGUAGUUUGAGACGCGGGUUCGAAUCCUGCCUGAGAUU